GCACUCUAAGCUAACUUGGUAGAAGCACUGGCUUGAAACCCCAGAUGACUUGGUUCGAUUCCAAGAGUGUGCACCA
This 76-nucleotide transfer RNA is filed under the name Pseudomonas phage PPSC2. RNAcentral describes it as "tRNA-Phe". It matches the Rfam family "tRNA". Rfam says of the family: Transfer RNA (tRNA) molecules are approximately 80 nucleotides in length. Lineage: Duplodnaviria; Heunggongvirae; Uroviricota; Caudoviricetes; Vandenendeviridae. The record is from RNAcentral.